Long non-coding RNA from Dasypus novemcinctus (nine-banded armadillo), 2803 nucleotides. The record is from Ensembl. Lineage: Eukaryota; Metazoa; Chordata; Mammalia; Cingulata; Dasypodidae.
AGACAUGAAUAUUGAUUUUAAUUAAACACUAUAAGGUAAACGGGAGGAUGUAAACAGGUAAGUAUUUUUGGUUGCGGAUGCGAGAGAUACUACAUUCGGGUUCCGUGAGGAUUCCCACGGCUUCCAUUGCAGGGAACCCCUAAGGGCCAGGCACCGAGGUACGCAUCACACACGCCGGGUCUCUUCAUCCUACCGCAGGCCGGGGUUGGUGGGUUAAGGGGCGUUCACUCUGCAGGGCCGAAGCUCCGCGAAACAUUAAGAACCGGUCGCUCGCUCGGCAGCACCUUCGCGACCCUGUCUUCCACGCCUUAUCUUCCAACGGUGCCCGCGACGAGCUCCCACUGAAAAGAAUCUGACCAUCCAGCGGAGGCAUGUCUACGACUGCACCCAAGCCUUCUUCCAGCCUUUCAAACCCUGCAUUGGCUGUUGGCUUAUUGUUUUUGAGUUAUGGAGAGGGGCAUGCGGGUAGGCGGAGCUGGAGCGCAACGUGGAGGCCUCCAUUAAGGCUGCAUUUUCAAUGCGGCUUAGAAAUCUUUGAAGCUCUGGGCAGCAGAUAUGAGCGGUGUGUGGGAGAUGGUGGGCUUUGCAGAGGGAAGGAUGGGGGUCUAAGGCCAGGGCCUGAGAAUGAGGACAUUCGGGCUCUGGGCCGUUAACGGCCUGUCUGGGCUGCGACUACAGUUCCCAGAGUUCAUCGAGUCCGCGUCAACUUCCUUCGGGUGCACCGGCUGCCUCUGGACAGUAGGCGGAAUCGCGCUCGGAUCUCCGCGGUUUUUUCUGCUCCCUCGGGAGACUGCGGGGUGGGUGGGGGCAUCUGGGAUCCGGAAGCGGAGCGACCCGAGAGGGGCCGAGGCUGCAGGCUUUUCACUGAGUGAGGAGGAUGGACGGAUGAUGCAAGAAAACAGAAGGAAACCAGAGAGUGCUGGACCUGGAGGUUAAUGGGAUUGCCAUUGCAGCUGGACUAAGAACUCUGUGCACAGUCUGCUUGUGCCACAGUAGAGACCACUCAAGCUACAUAUACCAGUCAUCUCACCGAAUGUCUCUGGUAAAUCUAAUCCGGGUUAUUUUGUCCUUAAAUUGCCUUUAGUUCUGUGUUGUGGCCCUGCUUGAGUGUUUUAGAUGGAAAUAAGUUUUAGAUGGAAAUAAGAGUAUUGGAUAUGGAGGAAAUGAGAGGCUACUGUCAAGAAAAUACAAAAGAGAGCCCUGGGCAGAUACAUUGGGCUUCCAGGUAGAGAGUUUCAUUGUCUUUGUGUGACUUGAGGUUCAUCCAGUUGUAGGAGAUAUGCUGCCCAAGGCUAGUCAGAAUGGCUGUAUCUCAUAUCCUGACCCAUGUCAUGAUCUUAGCAUAACUGACUGAACUGAAAUGCAGUCUGUUGCAGUUUGGUCCCUCAGGUUUUAGACAGAGGCAGGAUUUCUUUAGACUCCCUCUGAACCUCUCUCCAGGGAUAAAAAAUGCCAUUCUCAGUCCAUUUGAAAGCUCUAAGGAAAGCCUGACUUCUCAAAUAUUUUCCUAUAGCUCUGCCUUUUCAGGACCUUAUCUUGCCAGGAGAGAAUCCAGAAGAGGACCGAUCAGUUCUUCGAAUUUUAAGUCAUGGCCCAUGUGAGUUGGAAUUGCCUUUUUUCAAAAAUAUAACCAUUUUUAUCACAUUCUUUAAUCCUUAACCUGUUAUCUAAGUCAGUAUUCUCUGUGGUAAGUGAUGAUAGUGAAAAAGUCCAGUGCAAUCCUUGGUGCUCCCUCUUCUCUCCAAAUAUGGUCACACAGGGUAUUCACUAUAUCUUUUAUCCUAAGUCUUUGGCUAAAGCAAUGAUGGAAAAAAAAAUGCACUUUCUUAAGGGAAAUAGUAAAGACUUCCUUUUCAAAACUUUGUCUUAAAGUAGAAAUGAAUGGUUAAAGGGGACACACACAUAUGAAAGCUUUUAUUUACACUAUCAAAUGGGUUUUUUAAAUUGGGUAAGGUAUGACUUGGUGUUAGUUGAUACUCAUCUCAGUUUGUGGCACUUUAGGAGGCUUUUAGUUGGGAUAUGGAGAGUUGAGUUCAGAGAGAUCGGAGAUUUUGUCAGGGAAUCAGUAAAAGAUUAAUAUCAUUACCAAGGCAAGUGUCAGCUACUUAGCCAAGAGCUUAGAGAUCCUACACUUUCUUCAUAGGAAGUAGUAUUCAGUUUGGGAGUGGGUCUAAAGAAUUAUUUCAAGUUCAACUAACAAGAAAUUCAACUGAAAGUAGUUUAAGCAAACCACAAACAACCACAACAAAAAAUUACUUUAUUCACUUAAUUAGAAAAUUCCAGGCUGGUGUAGCCUUUUAGUGGUAUCAGCAAAUAACUCAUAUGAUAUUUUUCAUUCUGACUGCUAUCCUCCCGGUUUAGUGUUUGUCACCUGAAGGUCAUAAGGAUGUUGUGACUGGAGCAACAGGAACUUUUAAGAACAUAUAGGCACUCAACUUUAGUCACACUGAUUUCCAUAGCAUAUUUUCCAUGUCACAGUCAGUUAGCUCUAGUACAUUUGCUCAGUGUAUGUCCCACAUCCUGUAGUGCCCUUUUGCAUCAUCUCCCUUUCCAUCUGAAAGGUUUCUUUUAAUUUCACCAUUAAUACUUGGGGUUGUCAUUUCAGGGCUUGGUGAUGUUCAAGGAUGUGACUGUAGAGUUCUCUCAGGAGGAGUGGGAAUGCCUAGACUUAGAACAGAGGGAUUUGUACAGAGAUGUUAUGUUGGAGAACUACAGCAACAUGGUCUCACUAGGUAAGAGUAUCUCCUCCCAAGUGAUUGAGAAUUUGACCCCAGAAAUUCAUGCUUUCUAGAGUACAUUUUUU